CUGUGAGCGAUAAGACCGCUACGGGUUGUUCCGGGUGCUCCUCUCCGUAUGGUGAGUAUGAACCCGGACACCACAAACUCGUAGGGCGCGUUCACUG
Molecule: non-coding RNA, 97 nt
Filed under: unclassified sequences
Description: DUF3800-V RNA
Rfam family: DUF3800-V RNA
Source: Rfam by way of RNAcentral